ACUGCUCAGUAACACGUGGAUAACCUGCCCUUGGGUCCGGCAUAACCCCGGGAAACUGGGGAUAAUUCCGGAUAACGCACAUAUGCUGGAAUGCUUUAUGCGUCAAAUGGAUUCGUCUGCCCAAGGAUGGGUCUGCGGCCUAUCAGGUAGUAGUGGGUGUAAUGUACCUACUAGCCGACGACGGGUACGGGUUGUGAGAGCAAGAGCCCGGAGAUGGAUUCUGAGACAUGAAUCCAGGCCCUACGGGGCGCAGCAGGCGCGAAAACUUUACAAUGCGGGAAACCGUGAUAAGGGGACACCGAGUGCCAGCAUCAUAUGCUGGCUGUCCAGGUGUGUAAAAUACACCUGUUAGCAAGGGCCGGGCAAGACCGGUGCCAGCCGCCGCGGUAACACCGGCGGCCCGAGUGGUGAUCGUGAUUAUUGGGUCUAAAGGGUCCGUAGCCGGUUUGGUCAGUCCUCCGGGAAAUCUGAUAGCUCAACUAUUAGGCUUUCGGGGGAUACUGCCAGACUUGGAACCGGGAGAGGUAAGAGGUACUACAGGGGUAGGAGUGAAAUCUUGUAAUCCCUGUGGGACCACCUGUGGCGAAGGCGUCUUACCAGAACGGGUUCGACGGUGAGGGACGAAAGCUGGGGGCACGAACCGGAUUAGAUACCCGGGUAGUCCCAGCCGUAAACGAUGCUCGCUAGGUGUCAGACAUGGCGCGACCGUGUCUGGUGCCGCAGGGAAGCCGUGAAGCGAGCCACCUGGGAAGUACGGCCGCAAGGCUGAAACUUAAAGGAAUUGGCGGGGGAGCAC
This 796-nucleotide ribosomal RNA is filed under the name uncultured archaeon. RNAcentral's name for it is "bacterial SSU rRNA". It matches the Rfam family "Archaeal small subunit ribosomal RNA", at positions 85 to 879 of the family's 1478-position model. The record is from RNAcentral.